UGGGGAAUAUUGCACAAUGGACGGAAGUUUGAUGCAGCGACGCCGCGUGGAGGGUGUAGGCCUUCGGGUUGUGAACUCCUUUUUCUCGCGAAAAAGGCACAGUUUUGGCUGUGUUGAUGGUAGUGGGGGAAGAAGCGCCGGCUAACUACGUGCCAGCAGCCGCGGUAAUACGUAGGGCGCGAGCGUUGUCCGGAUUUAUUGUGCGUAAAGAGCUCGUAGGUGGUUCGUCGCGUCUGUCGUGAAAGCCAGCAGCUUAACUGUUGGUCUGCGGUGGGUACGGGCGGGUUUGAGUGCGAUAGGGGUGACUGGAAUUCCUGGUGUAGCGGUGGAAUGCGCAGAUAUCAGGAGGAAAACCGAUGGUGAAGGCAGGUCACUGGGCCGUUACUGACACUGAGGAGAGAAAGCGUGGGGAGCGAACAGG
Molecule: ribosomal RNA, 421 nt
Filed under: Fusobacteriota bacterium
Lineage: Bacteria; Fusobacteriati; Fusobacteriota
Description: Fusobacteria bacterium partial 16S ribosomal RNA
Rfam family: Bacterial small subunit ribosomal RNA
Source: RNAcentral